AUGGCUCAGAUUGAACGCUGGCGGCAUGCCUUACACAUGCAAGUCGAACGGCAGCACGGGAGCUUGCUCCUGGUGGCGAGUGGCGAACGGGUGAGUAAUACAUCGGAACGUACCCUGAAGUGGGGAUAACGUAGCGAAAGUUACGCUAAUACCGCAUAUUCUGUGAGCAGGAAAGAGGGGGAUCGCAAGACCUCUUGCUUUAGGAGCGGCCGAUGUCGGAUUAGCUAGUUGGUGAGGUAAAGGCUCACCAAGGCGACGAUCCGUAGCGGGGUCUGAGAGGAUGAUCCGCCACACUGGGACUGAGACACGGCCCAGACUCCUACGGGAGGCAGCAGUGGGGAAUUUUGGACAAUGGGCGCAAGCCUGAUCCAGCCAUGCCGCGUGAGUGAAGAAGGCCUUCGGGUUGUAAAGCUCUUUCGGUGGGGAAGAAAUUGCUUCGGUUAAUACCUGGAGUAGAUGACGGUACCCGCAUAAGAAGCACCGGCUAACUACGUG
This 495-nucleotide ribosomal RNA is filed under the name uncultured bacterium. Its description in RNAcentral is "bacterial SSU rRNA". It matches the Rfam family "Bacterial small subunit ribosomal RNA", at positions 19 to 507 of the family's 1533-position model. The record is from RNAcentral.